This 293-nucleotide long non-coding RNA is filed under the name Elaeis guineensis (African oil palm). Its description in RNAcentral is "long non-coding RNA (EGUI_LNC051446)". Lineage: Eukaryota; Viridiplantae; Streptophyta; Magnoliopsida; Arecales; Arecaceae. The record is from RNAcentral.
AUCACAUGAUGUAUCUGAUCAGACUUUGAUCCCCCACAUCUCCACUAUCUUCCAGAUGAUUUCAGAUCAGUCAGUUCGCAUUCAGCAGCUUGAGGGUUAUAUAUUGAGACUGACUGGGAGAGUACUUGACUUGCAGGGGCAAGUGUUAGCUCUAGCACAUCCACAGCCACAGGAGUUCAUCACUGAGGUCUCAGACCUAUCUACAGAGGCAACCAGACUUAGAGGAGUUUUGGAGAGUGGAUUUGAUUUCCUGAGGAGAGAGAUCAGAGGCUCUAGUGAGCAUGCAUCCACCC